This 446-nucleotide ribosomal RNA is filed under the name uncultured bacterium. Its description in RNAcentral is "bacterial SSU rRNA". It matches the Rfam family "Bacterial small subunit ribosomal RNA", at positions 505 to 949 of the family's 1533-position model. The record is from RNAcentral.
GUGCCAGCAGCCGCGGUAAUACGUAGGGUGCGAGCGUUAAUCGGAAUUACUGGGCGUAAAGCGAGCGCAGACGGUUAAAUAAGUCAGAUGUGAAAUCCCCGAGCUCAACUUGGGACGUGCAUUUGAAACUGUGUAACUAGAGUGUGUCAGAGGGAGGUAGAAUUCCACGUGUAGCAGUGAAAUGCGUAGAGAUGUGGAGGAAUACCGAUGGCGAAGGCAGCCUCCUGGGAUAACACUGACGUUCAUGCUCGAAAGCGUGGGUAGCAAACAGGAUUAGAUACCCUGGUAGUCCACACCGUAAACGAUGAAUACUAGGUGUUAGGAGGUUUCCGCCUCUUAGUGCCGAAGCAAACGCAUUAAGUAUUCCGCCUGGGGAGUACGGUCGCAAGAUUAAAACUCAAAGGAAUUGACGGGGACCCGCACAAGCGGUGGAUGAUGUGGAUUAA